CUACGGGCCGCUGCAGUGGGGAAUAUUGCACAAUGGAGGAAACUCUGAUGCAGCAACGCCGCGUGGAGGAUGACACUUUUCGGAGCGUAAACUCCUUUUAUAUAGGAAGAAGAUGACGGUACUAUAUGAAUAAGCGCCGGCUAACUCCGUGCCAGCAGCCGCGGUAAUACCGGAGGGCGCAAGCGUUACUCGGAAUCACUGGGCGUAAAGAGCGUGUAGGCGGAUUAAAAAGUCAGAAGUGAAAUCCUAUAGCUUAACUAUAGAACUGCUUCUGAAACUCUUAAUCUAGAAUAUGGGAGAGGUAGAUGGAAUUUCUGGUGUAGGGGUAAAAUCCGUAGAGAUCAGAAGGAAUACCGAUUGCGAAGGCGAUCUACUAGAACAUUAUUGACGCUGAGACGCGAAAGCGUGGGGAGCAAACAGGAUUAGAUACCCUCGUAGUC
RNAcentral lists this ribosomal RNA (440 nucleotides) under uncultured bacterium. RNAcentral's name for it is "partial 16S ribosomal RNA". It matches the Rfam family "Bacterial small subunit ribosomal RNA", at positions 339 to 795 of the family's 1533-position model. The record is from RNAcentral.